Non-coding RNA from Favolaschia claudopus, 110 nucleotides. The record is from the annotation of a GenBank genome assembly. Lineage: Eukaryota; Fungi; Basidiomycota; Agaricomycetes; Agaricales; Mycenaceae.
GUCACUAUAGCUUAGUGGUUGAGCAUACGAUUGCAACAAAAGUCAUGUGUUCAGUCACGUUGUCAAAUCACGUGAUCGUGAGGUCCCGCGUUCGAACCGCGGUAGUGACU